GCCCGUGUUUGUUUGUUUUUUUUUUGUGUGCGUUUUUUUUUUUUUUUUUUUUUGGCGUUUAGGGGGGUUUUUGGAAAUGUGAUCUCUUGCAGCUUUAACUUUCUUUCCUUUAUGUGGUUGAUACAGUGUGAUAUUUGACCGAUAUGGUGGCCGGAAGGACCAUGAACAUUAACUCAACACAACGAUAUAUGCAUUUAUAUUACCACCAAACUUACUUUUACUGAUAUCAUUUUAAUCCAAGCAGUAUAUUAGCACUUACGAAGACCAUCAUUGUAGCUCUAGUUUCAUGUGGUUCUUUACCAGGGCCUUGAUAUCAUGAUGUAAUCUUUAAUAUGGAAAUUUUCUUUAGCAGAGGUCAAGUAAUUAAGCAAGCUAUCCACUACAACCAACAAAAAUAUGUCAGUAUUAGUAGGUCUAUGGGGUAUUUUCCUGAAUCUUCUUUAACAUUGUAUAUUGUAAAUGAACAGAUUAUAAAACUAACCCAAGACAUUUUAUUGGAACAAAAUGAGGAAAAAAAAAAAGAAAAAAAAAAGUUCAGCUUCUACGUGUUCUGUGUCUGCUGUACUUUUUUUCCUGAACUGCUUCUUUCUUUUCCUCCUUUUUCUUACGCUCCAUGCGAUGAUGAUGAUGUGGUUGUAUUCUUCUCGUGGUGAUUCCACUUUUUUUUUCUGUGUGUGCCGUCCACUCUUUUCUCUCUCUCUCUCUCUUUUUUUUUUUAAAGACAGGGUAGAAAACAGAGACACUACUGGAUGUAUGAAUCCUCAGGAGACAUGGAUGAGGGGUUUCAAAUAACUUUCUGGCAUAAAGGACUCUUGCAAAGUUAGAUCUUGCUAGAUCAACAGUUUCAUGAUCGAUGUAAUCUAUACUGAUGUAUAAGUGAUUAACAGCUAUUUAAAGGAAGGAGCAACAUAUAUUUAAAAAGGGAUCAUUUUAUCUAACUACUUUCCUGUAGACUAACACUGUACUGUAUAUCUUAGGUUUAAAAAAAAAUGCUUUUGAGUAUCUCAAAAUAGUAGUGGAUUUUUAAAAAAAACAACAAAAAAAAACGAUUAUUCUUUCUUUCUUUCUUUCUUUUUUAACACGCUGCUGUACAUAAGGCCUUCCAUGCUGAGCGACUCUUGUAAUAUUAUCUUUAAAUCCUUGAGGCUGCAAAGGAAAGAAAUGUUAUUUGUUUUGAUGUAGGAUCCAGUUUCUAACACGCUCGCUUCAACUUUGUGUGCUAAAUAAAAAUGAAGAGAAAAGGACUAAAAAAAACAUCAUUCUUGGAAUAAAACAGGGAUAAGGGUUUUUUUUCUCUCCCUUCUGUGUUCUUUAAAUACUGUGUAAUAAUUGUCAUUAGCGAUACAAAAUCUAUCAUUUAGAGAGUGCUUUGGAGAGUGUAAAGUUAUUCUGAACAUUAAUCAUGGCUAUUCGUUGGAUGGUCAAAAACUGGAGGGUUCCUGUUGUUGAUCGGAAGUUGGCACUUUCGUAUUUUUGAUUUUUGAUCUUUUUUUUUUACACAGUUCAUGGCAGAAUGGUGCGUUUUCUUCCUUUGUGAUUUUUCUUUCCUCUUGUCUAUUGCAUUUUGUCUUUCUUAUGACUUUAUGACUUAUGAUACAGACAGAACACCAUGUAAACAUGAAAACAUGAUCUUUAUUUUUUAUUUUAUUUUUUUUUAAAGUGAUUUAAGCUUAGCUUUCAUUUUUAUAACGUCACACAGAUGUUACAGCAAGCGGUCCUGGGCCUGGGUGCGUUACAGGAGCUGACUUGGAGUCAGCCGUCACCCUUUCUAUAAAUUCAAGACAAAACUGACCCACUUCGAGACGUCUGACUCACCGUUAAAGGCUGAGAGUCCUGAGUAUUUCCUUUUGUUACACAAAGCAUUCGCACAAAAAGAUGGAUUCUUCCAAAAGGAUACUAGUAUUUUCUGAACUUCUUUUAGAGAUACUUACUGCAUAACUUUGAACAGUAUAGUCCCAAGGUUAACUUAGAUCAUUGAGAGAAGGCUCUAUUUGCUCUAUUCACUCUGUCUGUUUUCAACAUACUGUAUUAACGUAGAGAAAUCAAAGUGUAAAUUACCAACGAUACAUUUUUCCAACAUAUUUUCUUAUUUAAAGCAAUAUGUGUGGCGAUCAGGAGUCACACUCUGCAACUGACUUAGAUCAAAAAUGCUGUAUUUAUUGGACUAUUUUGCAAUGUAAGAAAUAAUAGGGGGGAAAAAAUAGAUGAUGUACAAACAACUGAUAUUUUUUAUUAUAGAGGACCUUAUGGGCAUGGGUUGUAUUUAUUCUCGUCUGCGAAAUGUAUUGAAGGAUUUUUGCAGCAGUCAAACAUGCAAAUUGUAAGAAACACUAAUCAACAGGAAGAACUGGAGGAAGAAGGGAGGAGGAGGAGGAGGUGGGGGUAUUUAAAAAAAAAUUAACAAAAAUAAAAAAUAAAAACAUAUAUGAUCAAUAAGAUGAUAUCAAUUUCAGUCCAGGAGUUGCUGAAACAGCCUGUAGUGAGAACCAUGUCUGUAGCUCUAGAUGUGCUCAACAUCAGUGAAACAAUUACUUGUAUAUUUUUGUGAUGUGUACCAUACAGUGUGCUCCAACAAUUCUGUCCAUUUGUGUAAAUGUAUUUAUUUUACAUUGUAUAUAUUGUUCAAUGCAAAAAGAGAGACCUAUGAUUCUGUAACUACGAUCAAUUCAGAUGUGUAACUCCAAUUAUGCCUUUCAGGAUAAUGGUAGAGCAAUAUUAAAACAUGCUUCCAGUUUUGACUUUGGGCUGCUUCCUUUGUUUCUCAUUCACACUUAAAAAAAAAAAAAAAAAAGAAAAAAACAGUUUCUUGGCUGUUAAAUUGACC
Long non-coding RNA from Ictalurus punctatus (channel catfish), 2824 nucleotides. Lineage: Eukaryota; Metazoa; Chordata; Actinopteri; Siluriformes; Ictaluridae. The record is from Ensembl.